GGACCAAGGAGUCUAGCAUGUGCGCGAGUCAUUGGGUCGUACUAAACCUAAAGGCGAAAUGAAAGUGAAGUCCGGCCCCGCGCCGGGCGAGGGAAGAUGGCGCGCGCCGCGACGCGCGCCCGCAUUCCCGGGGCGUCUGGCACUCAUUGCGAGGCGAGGCGCACCUAGAGCGCACACGCUGGGACCCGAAAGAUGGUGAACUAUGCCUGGUCAGGACGAAGUCAGGGGAAACCCUGAUGGAGGUCCGUAGCGAUUCUGACGUGCAAAUCGAUCGUCGGAACUGGGUAUAGGGGCGAAAGACUAAUCGAACCAUCUAGUAGCUGGUUCCCUCCGAAGUUUCCCUCAGGAUAGCUGGCGCACGGAGGAAUUGUGAUAUUGUGAUAUAAUAAACGGAUGAGUCUCAUCCGGUAAAGCGAAUGAUUAGAGGCAUUGGGGUCGAAACGGCCUCAACCUAUUCUCAAACUUUAAAUGGGUGAGAUCUCCGGCUUGCUCGAGAGCUAUGUCGUUUUGAAGCCGGAGAUCGGAUCUACGUGUGCCAAGUGGGCCACUUUUGGUAAGCAGAACUGGCGCUGUGGGAUGAACCAAACGUCGAGUUAAAGCGCCCAAAUCUACGCUUAUGGGACACCAUGAAAGGCGUUGGUAACUUAAGACAGCAGGACGGUGGCCAUGGAAGUCGGA
RNAcentral lists this ribosomal RNA (678 nucleotides) under Neohydrocoptus seriatus. RNAcentral describes it as "eukaryotic LSU rRNA". It matches the Rfam family "Eukaryotic large subunit ribosomal RNA", at positions 663 to 1265 of the family's 3401-position model. The record is from RNAcentral. Lineage: Eukaryota; Metazoa; Arthropoda; Insecta; Coleoptera; Noteridae.